UGCAAGAUCGACUAUGUUGAUUAAAGUUCUAGAUAGAGUUAUGAUAAUGACAUUUUCUAUCUAUGUGUCUUGACCAAAUCACGUGCCAGCAGUCGCGGUAAUACGUGGAAGACUAGUGUUAUUCAUCUUUAAUAGGUUUAAAGGGUACUUAGACGGUUGAUUAAGCCUACUAAUCAACUAGAGUUUUAUACAAGAGGGGGAGUACUAAAGAGUGUAGAGAUGAAAUUCUGUCAUACCUGACCUGGAACAGACAACGGCGAAAGCAACCCUUUAUGUAAAAACUGACGUUGAAAGACGAAGGCUUAGGACACCAACAGGAUUAGAUACCCCAGCAGUCUAAGCAGACAAUGAUGAAUGUCAUAGAUUAGAAUUACAAUUUAGUCUAUAAAUGAAAGUGUAAGCAUUCCACCUCAAGAGUAAUGUGGCAACGCAGAAACUGAAAUCAUUAGACCGUUUCUGAAACCAGUAGUGAAGUAUGUUGUUUAAUUUGUUGGUCCGCAAAACACCUUACCACAAUUUGAAUAGUAUUUACAAGCGUUGCACGGCUGUUUUCAGUUAAUGUCGUGAGAUUUUGGUUAAUUCCAUAAAAUUAACGUAAACCCUUACUUUAUUUUAAAGUAGUUCACCGCUAUAUUUCAUAUGAUAAAAGGGAAUAAGACAAGUCAAUCUGGCCUUAAUAUUGUGGGCUAUAGACGUGCCACAUAUGCCUCUACAAAGG
RNAcentral lists this ribosomal RNA (718 nucleotides) under Trapeliopsis colensoi. Its description in RNAcentral is "SSU rRNA". It matches the Rfam family "Bacterial small subunit ribosomal RNA", at positions 406 to 1245 of the family's 1533-position model. Lineage: Eukaryota; Fungi; Ascomycota; Lecanoromycetes; Trapeliales; Trapeliaceae. The record is from RNAcentral.